UAAGAAGUUGCUUGUUUAGGAAAGCCA
This 27-nucleotide small RNA is filed under the name Bombyx mori (domestic silkworm). RNAcentral describes it as "ovarian small RNA-19121". The record is from RNAcentral. Lineage: Eukaryota; Metazoa; Arthropoda; Insecta; Lepidoptera; Bombycidae.